GAAAUUUCAAAAUUUACAACAUAAAAAUACAUGGAAUAAAAAGUUAUUGGAAUGCAUUAAUGGGUUGAUGGAAGACGCUGAGGACAAAUAAAAGCAUGUGAAGUGUAGGGUAUAUCAACUUUAAAUGCUAAAUGGGCAACUUACAAGAGUUGAUAUUUGUGUGUGGAGUUAGAACUGGUAAUAGAGCGAAUGCUGCAGAUAGGGUUUUGUCAUACUGUCGUCGAAUAGUAGCAUUCUACACCUCCUUUUAA
This 251-nucleotide unclassified non-coding RNA is filed under the name Hevea brasiliensis (rubber tree). Lineage: Eukaryota; Viridiplantae; Streptophyta; Magnoliopsida; Malpighiales; Euphorbiaceae. The record is from RNAcentral.